AUUUAGCUAAUCUCCCAAGUCUGGCAGGGGGAGGGUCUUUUAGGAGAGGCCAGCUGCAGCCGGCAGUGGAGAGCCUGGGCAGGGAGCCAGGGAGAAAACUCCGGCAGCAGGGUGUUCUCUAGGGCUGACCUCGGAGCCUGGGGACAGGGGAGCCUAUGCCGCACUGAAGGCGGGACGCUGUAAGCGAGGAGCAGCUGGGCCUGGGCGGACUCCUCGGCCAAUCAGCCUCGACUCGUUUGUGAACAGCCAGGAGUGGACGCUGAGCCGCUCCGUACCGGAGCUUAAAGUGGGCAUAGUGGGGAACCUGUCUAGCGGGAAGUCAGCCCUGGUGCACCGCUAUCUGACGGGGACCUAUGUCCAGGAGGAGUCCCCUGAAGGGGGACGGUUUAAGAAGGAGAUUGUGGUGGAUGGCCAGAGUUAUCUGCUGCUGAUCCGAGAUGAAGGAGGCCCCCCUGAGCUCCAGUUUGCUGCCUGGGUGGAUGCAGUGGUGUUUGUAUUCAGCCUGGAGGAUGAAAUCAGUUUCCAGACGGUGUACAACUACUUCCUGCGUCUCUGCAGCUUCCGCAACGCCAGCGAGGUGCCCAUGGUGCUUGUGGGCACGCAG
This 604-nucleotide small RNA is filed under the name Pongo abelii (Sumatran orangutan). Its description in RNAcentral is "processed transcript". Lineage: Eukaryota; Metazoa; Chordata; Mammalia; Primates; Hominidae. The record is from RNAcentral.